Molecule: ribosomal RNA, 253 nt
Filed under: uncultured bacterium
Lineage: Bacteria
Description: partial 16S ribosomal RNA
Rfam family: Bacterial small subunit ribosomal RNA
Source: RNAcentral
UACAGAGACUGCAAGCGUUAUUCGGAUUCACUGGGCGUAAAGGGUGCGCAGGCGGCCAAGUGUGUGAGGCGUGAAAGCCCGGGGCUUAACUCCGGAAUUGCACCUCAAACUACAUGGCUAGAGCAUUGGGGAGGGUAGCAGAAUUCACGGUGUAGCAGUGAAAUGCGUAGAUAUCGUGAGGAAUACCAGAGGCGAAGGCGGCUACCUGGACAAUUGCUGACGCUCAGGCACGAAAGCGUGGGGAGCAAAAGGG